CUCUUAUCAAGAGAGGUGGAGGGACUGGCCCGAUGAAGCCCGGCAACCGACCGCAACCUGCGGUAAAGGUGCCAAUUCCUGCAGAACAUGAAUGUUCUGACAGAUGAGAG
Molecule: non-coding RNA, 110 nt
Filed under: Kroppenstedtia eburnea
Lineage: Bacteria; Bacillati; Bacillota; Bacilli; Caryophanales; Thermoactinomycetaceae
Also listed under: 1 other name
Description: Thermoactinomycetaceae bacterium JFMB-ATE SAM riboswitch aptamer (S box leader)
Rfam family: SAM riboswitch aptamer (S box leader)
About the family: The SAM riboswitch is found upstream of a number of genes which code for proteins involved in methionine or cysteine biosynthesis in Gram-positive bacteria. The SAM riboswitch acts at the level of transcription termination control.
Source: Rfam by way of RNAcentral